GACGAACGCUGGCGGCGUGCUUAACACAUGCAAGUCGAACGGAAAGGCCUCUUUCGGGGGGUACUCGAGUGGCGAACGGGUGAGUAACACGUGAGUAACCUGCCCUUGACUUUGGGAUAACUUCAGGAAACUGGGGCUAAUACCGGAUAGGAGCUCCUGCUGCAUAGUGGGGGUUGGAAAGUUUCGGCGGUUGGGGAUGGACUCGCGGCUUAUCAGCUUGUUGGUGGGGUAGUGGCUUACCAAGGCUUUGACGGGUAGCCGGCCUGAGAGGGUGACCGGCCACAUUGGGACUGAGAUACGGCCCAGACUCCUACGGGAGGCAGCGGUGGGGAAUAUUGCACAAUGGGUGGAAGCCUGAUGCAGCAACGCCGUGUGCGGGAUGACGGCCUUCGGGUUGUAAACCGCUUUCGCUCAUGACGAAGCUUUGUGUGACGGUAGUGGGUAAAGAAGCACCGGCUAACUACGUG
This 467-nucleotide ribosomal RNA is filed under the name uncultured bacterium. Its description in RNAcentral is "partial 16S ribosomal RNA". It matches the Rfam family "Bacterial small subunit ribosomal RNA", at positions 28 to 507 of the family's 1533-position model. The record is from RNAcentral.